AUGAUGACUUGGCUGUCUUCAUCAGGGCUCUCUCUCAAGCUAUGUUCAUUGACUGAGCUUUGCCCCAUUAGACGUCUGCUCUCCUGCCCCAGAUGUGCUACACAGAUUCCUGGCCUCUUGACUCAAACCCCCGGGAACGAGGCCAGUGGGCACUUUCUCCUCUGGUCCCUGCCAAGGUUGUCACUGUGGAUAAAAGCUUUCCUACAAGGCCCACAUCUCCCUUUGCUUCAACCUUGGCUUACCACCUUCUCAUCUGAGUCCUGCAGCAUCUACAGUCCGUUCCACAUCCUCACCCCAUACUGGUGGAGAACAUGCAUGGCCGGAAGUUGGGAGGGAAGGGAAGGCAGAGAGCUUUGAUCUAAGGCAUGCCUCAGACCUCUUUGUCUCUCUUGGACCACAUUAGGACAAUCCUUUCUAUUAGAAAGGACUAGAAAAUAGUAGUUCCAUCUACGAGAAAGAAUGCAGCCUCCUACUUUUAACCACAG
Molecule: long non-coding RNA, 485 nt
Filed under: Felis catus (domestic cat)
Lineage: Eukaryota; Metazoa; Chordata; Mammalia; Carnivora; Felidae
Description: lncRNA (ENSFCAG00000052680.1)
Source: RNAcentral